Molecule: long non-coding RNA, 651 nt
Filed under: Homo sapiens (human)
Lineage: Eukaryota; Metazoa; Chordata; Mammalia; Primates; Hominidae
Description: HSALNT0408857
Source: RNAcentral
CGCCUACUGGCGCCCUAGCAACCGGGUUGCGAACCAUGUUCUAUCCCGACUAAGUGGCCGUCCUGGGAGUUAUAGUGCCACUAGCCGGCCUCGGCUGUUCCCUGUCCGAGGCUCUUGUCAUUUCCGCUUAUUUCCUCCACGGGUGCCGAUUUCAUGUGUGUGUUCCCGAGUGCCUGAGCCGGCUCCCGAAAUGAGUACUCGUGGUUUCCGCGUGGGAACCAACCUCGAGCGCCAGUGGCCCGCCCUCUCCGGGCUGAGGUGGCUGCUGAGGCUGGGGCUGCUCCUGAGGCUUCAGGGCCGCCCGCUGCACGGCUUUCUACCUUCCCAGGUUAGCCGCGGUCAACUUCUGCCAGGCGGAGCGAGAAAUCGCAUUUUGUCAGGGGCUGCAGCAUGCUGAAAGAAAACAGAAGCCUGUGGAGUGAGCCAAGAUCAACCAGGAAAUAAACCCUUUCCCUUGCGAUGUCUCUCCAGCGCCCUCUACUGACAAACCUGCUUUAGUGCCAGUUUGUAGAGAUAGAGUUUCAUUCUUUUGCCCAGGCUGGAGUGAAGUGGUGUGAUCUCGGCUCACUGCAACCUCCGUACCCCAGGUUCAAGUGAUUCUCCUGCCUCAGCCUCCUGAGUAGCUGGGAUUAUAGGUGCCCGAUACCACAC